UUAAAUAGCGUUAAGAUAGGUGCCCGCAAGGGCUUAAUAGGGAAGACCGGUGUAACGCCGGCGCGGUCCCGCCACUGUAAUAGGGAGCGAAUCCAAAGUAUGCCACUGAGACACGCGUCUUGGGAAGGUUUGGACAAGCGAUGAUCUAGAGCCAGGAGAACUGCCUGUCUGUCAAUCACCGU
Propionispora sp. 2/2-37 is the source of this 182-nucleotide regulatory RNA element. The record is from Rfam. NCBI's taxonomy places the organism in Bacteria, Bacillati, Bacillota, Negativicutes, Selenomonadales, Sporomusaceae.